Molecule: long non-coding RNA, 609 nt
Organism: Syzygium oleosum
Lineage: Eukaryota; Viridiplantae; Streptophyta; Magnoliopsida; Myrtales; Myrtaceae
Exons: 2
Source: RefSeq, a predicted model, not a curated record
UGUCCUAAGGAAGUUUUGAUGCUUGUGAAGAUCGAAAACACUUGAUCUGGUCUUAACAGCACAUACCUGAACGAUAGUAAAUGUAGUAUUUAAAAUUGAAUCUGCUUUCUGUAUGCCCAUUAUGUUCUACCUCUGUCAAUCAAUUACAUAGCCGCUGAUAUUUUUGUAUGUUACGCUGAUGCAGGGUUGUUUGAUGCGGUUACAUUAGAAUGAUAUCACUCCUCAACUCGAUGAGGCUCUGCAGAGGGAGUUCAAGCUGCAUUUCAUGAAACUCAGAGAUAGUCCCCAAACACCACGGGAUGGAGAUACAGGCAGGAAUGAGCUAUGUCAUUAUGGAAAGGCAUUCCGAAGUUCCUUGCUAUUGGCUUUUAUCAUGUGCACCGUGUUGUUAAUACUCUUCAAAUGAUUCUUGAUAUAAAGCGACCUCUUCUCAUGUGGUGUUUUAGUCCUUUGCAAGCUUUGGCAUGGUGCCAAUCUUCAGCAAUAGCCAAAUCACAACUCGCUUGCAUGAAGACCGCAUGUGCAGGUGGUUCUAUAUGUGUAAGUUAAGCAUAAGUCAUAUUUCCUCAACAGAGGUAAAUAAGCAGCGAACAAUCAUUUUUCUUCUGA